This 510-nucleotide ribosomal RNA is filed under the name uncultured bacterium. RNAcentral's name for it is "bacterial SSU rRNA". It matches the Rfam family "Bacterial small subunit ribosomal RNA", at positions 19 to 518 of the family's 1533-position model. The record is from RNAcentral.
AUGGCUCAGGAUGAACGCUAGCUACAGGCUAACACAUGCAAGUCGAGGGGCAGCAUGAGAUUAGCUUGCUAAUCUUGAUGGCGACCGGUGCACGGGUGAGUAACGCGUAUCCAACCUUCCCCCUACUCAGGCAUAGCCCGGUGAAAACCGGAUUAACUCCUGAUAGUUUCACUAGAUGGCAUCUGACGGUGAAUAAAGCUUUGCGGUAAGGGAUGGGGAUGCGUCUGAUUAGCUUGUUGGCGGGGUAACGGCCCACCAAGGCAACGAUCAGUAGGGGUUCUGAGAGGAAGGUCCCCCACAUUGGAACUGAGACACGGUCCAAACUCCUACGGGAGGCAGCAGUGAGGAAUAUUGGUCAAUGGGCGAGAGCCUGAACCAGCCAAAAGUAGCGUGCAGGAUGACGGCCCUAUGGGUUGUAAACUGCUUUUGUACGGGAAUAAAGUGACCUACGUGUAGGUUUUUGCAUGUACCGUAAGAAUAAGGACCGGCUAAUUCCGUGCCAGCCGCCGC